This 440-nucleotide ribosomal RNA is filed under the name uncultured bacterium. RNAcentral describes it as "partial 16S ribosomal RNA". It matches the Rfam family "Bacterial small subunit ribosomal RNA", at positions 338 to 795 of the family's 1533-position model. The record is from RNAcentral.
CCUACGGGAGGCAGCAGUGGGGAAUAUUGCACAAUGGGGGAAACCCUGAUGCAGCGACGCCGCGUGAAUGAAGAAGUAUUUCGGUAUGUAAACUUCUAUCAGCAGGGAAGAAAAUGACGGUACCUGACUAAGAAGCCCCGGCUAACUACGUGCCAGCAGCCGCGGUAAUACGUAGGGGGCAAGCGUUAUCCGGAUUUACUGGGUGUAAAGGGAGCGUAGGCGGUUUAGCAAGUCAGAAGUGAAAGCCCGGGGCUCAACUCCGGGACUGCUUUUGAAACUGUUGAACUAGAGUGCAGGAGAGGUAAGUGGAAUUCCUAGUGUAGCGGUGAAAUGCGUAGAUAUUAGGAGGAACACCAGUGGCGAAGGCGGCUUACUGGACUGUAAAUGAUGCUGAGGCUCGAAAGCGUGGGGAGCAAACAGGAUUAGAUACCCUAGUAGUC